UAAGACCUUGCGCUUUUGGAGCGGCCGAUGCCUGAUUAGCUAGUUGGUGGGGUAAUGGCCUACCAAAGCUUCGAUCAGUAGCUGGUCUGAGAGGACGGCCAGCCACACUGGGACUGAGACACGGCCCAGACUCCUACGGGAGGCAGCAGUGGGGAAUUUUGGACAAUGGGGGCAACCCUGAUCCAGCCAUGCCGCGUGAGUGAAGAAGGCCUUCGGGUUGUAAAGCUCUUUCAGCCGGAAMGAAACGGUUACGGUUAAUACCCGUGACUACUGACGGUACCGGAAGAAGAAGCACCGGCUAACUACGUGCCAGCAGCCGCGGUAAUACGUAGGGUGCGAGCGUUAAUCGGAAUUACUGGGCGUAAAGGGUGCGCAGGUGGUUUUGUAAGUCAGAUGUGAAAUCCCCGGGCUUAACCUGGGAACU
Molecule: ribosomal RNA, 424 nt
Filed under: uncultured bacterium
Lineage: Bacteria
Description: bacterial SSU rRNA
Rfam family: Bacterial small subunit ribosomal RNA
Source: RNAcentral